AGCGAACGCUGGCGGCAGGCCUAACACAUGCAAGUCGAACGGCAGCACAGUAAGAUCUUGUUCUUACGGGUGGGGAGUGGCGGACGGGUGCGGAAUAGAUCGGAAUCUACUUUUUCGUGGGGGAUAACGUAGGGAAACUCACGUUAAUACCGCAUACGACCUACGGGAGAAAGCAGGGGAUCUUCGGACUUUGCGCGAUUGAAUGAGCCGAUGUCGGGUUAGCUAGUUGGCGGGGUCAAGGCCCACCAAGGCGACGGUCCGUAGCUGGUCUGAGGGGUUGGUGCGCCAGCCGGUAACCUAGGCACGGGACAGACUCCAGCGGGAGGCAGCAGUCGGGAGUGUUGGACAAUGGACGCAAGCCUGAUCCAGGAAUACCGCGUGGGUGGAGAAGGAUUUCGGGUUGUAAAGCCCUUUUGUUGUGAAAGAAAAGCAGCAGGUUAAUACCCCGCGGUGCUGACGGUACCCAAAGAAUAAGCACCGGCUAACUUCGUG
This 492-nucleotide ribosomal RNA is filed under the name uncultured bacterium. Its description in RNAcentral is "partial 16S ribosomal RNA". It matches the Rfam family "Bacterial small subunit ribosomal RNA", at positions 29 to 507 of the family's 1533-position model. The record is from RNAcentral.